GUCAGCAACUGUAUCAACCUGAAACUCACAAAUGGGAAGCCACUGAAGAUCAGCAGGUUUGAGCCAGGUAUUCAGUACCUGGAUGGGAGACCUCCUAGGAAAAGCCAAGGUUGCUGCUGAAA
RNAcentral lists this ribosomal RNA (122 nucleotides) under Lepisosteus oculatus (spotted gar). The record is from RNAcentral. Lineage: Eukaryota; Metazoa; Chordata; Actinopteri; Semionotiformes; Lepisosteidae.